CAUGCGAGUUAAAUGUUCUUCGUGAACAUAGCAGACUGCUCAGUAACACGUGGAUAACCUGCCCUUAGGACUGGCAUAACCCCGGGAAACUGGGGAUAAUUCCGGAUAGAUCAUAAAUGCUGGAAUGCUUUAUGAUUGAAAGGUUUCGACCGCCUUAGGAUGGAUCUGCGGCCUAUCAGGUUGUAGUGGGUGUAAUGUACCUACUAGCCUACGACGGGUACGGGUUGUGGAAGCAAGAGCCCGGAGAUGGAUUCUGAGACAUGAAUCCAGGCCCUACGGGGCGCAGCGGGCGCGAAAACUUUACAAUGCGGGAAACCGUGAUAAGGGAACACUGAGUGCUAGCAUUUAUGUUAGCUGUCCACAUGUGUAAAUAGCAUGUGAUAGCAAGGGCUGGGCAAGACCGGUGCCAGCCGCCGCGGUAACACCGGCAGCCCGAGUGGUGAUCACUAUUAUUGGGUCUAAAGGGUCCGUAGCCGGUUUAAUCAGUCUUCUGGGAAAUCUAAUCGCUUAACUAUUAGGCUUCCAGGGGAUGCUGUUAGACUUGGGACCGGGAGAGGUAAGAGGUACUGCAGGGGUAGGAGUGAAAUCUUGUAAUCCCUGUGAGACCACCAGUGGCGAAGGCGUCUUACCAGAACGGGUCCGACGGUGAGGGACGAAAGCUGGGGGCACGAACCGGAUUAGAUACCCGGGUAGUCCCAGCUGUAAACGAUGCUCGUUAGGUGUCAGGAACGGUGCGACUGUUUCUGGUGCCGAAGGGAAGCCGUGAAACGAGCCACCUGGGAAGU
This 785-nucleotide ribosomal RNA is filed under the name uncultured archaeon. RNAcentral's name for it is "bacterial SSU rRNA". It matches the Rfam family "Archaeal small subunit ribosomal RNA", at positions 50 to 836 of the family's 1478-position model. The record is from RNAcentral.